Long non-coding RNA from Cucumis melo (muskmelon), 943 nucleotides. RefSeq lists it as uncharacterized. Lineage: Eukaryota; Viridiplantae; Streptophyta; Magnoliopsida; Cucurbitales; Cucurbitaceae. The record is from RefSeq and is a predicted model, not a curated record. The transcript is spliced from 2 exons.
AGCCAUUUUUUAAAUACUUGGUCGUGGGACAAUUUAGGAAAGUUUCCCAAAUUUUCUUUUUUGUGUCAUUACAAAUUACACCAAUAAAAAAUAAUAAUUAUUUGCAUUUCUCGACACAAAUUUCCCUCCAUCUUAAACUUCCUAAAAAACCCCUUUACAUUCUUUUUUGCCGCCGCCGCCGUCUCUCUCUCUCAAGCCCUCACAAUUUUGCGCCGUCGUCUCCUGCCUCCGUCUCCCUCUCGCUAACUCCCUAAAAAAAGCCUCCACAAUUUUGCGCCGCCGCCGUCUCUCUCUCGGAACGCUCUCCGGUUCAGUAUCGCACGACUUUCCCUCUCCUCGCGAACGCUCUCCGGUUCAGCUUCGCCGUCUCUCUCUCGCAAGGAUCCCACCAAACCGUGAGUUGCUUCUCCUCCCCCUUCCGUCCGUUUCGCACUGCCUUCAUUCCUCCGUCUGGUUCAUUCGUAGAAGGCUCACCAAACACCAAAAUUCUUUAAAUGGAUCAAGAGGCUGCCCGAACUGCUCGGGAAUCACUAGACCUUGCAUUUCAUAUGUCUAAUGUACUUGAUGCCGGGAUCGAUCGCCACACUCUCUCUGUCCUCAUUGCUCUCUGUGACAUGGGUGUGAACCCUGAAGCUUUGGCUGCUGUUGUCAAGGAACUACGGCAGGAGCCACCCGCAUCAGAGACCAUCAUAUCGGCCAGUAACAAGUCAUAAGUUCCCCAAGCAAAGAAACAACUCUGUUCUUCUGAUGUAGGUUGAAAUACAAAUGUGUUAUUUAACCAUGUUGGAUGGCAUCUUGUGAUAGAUGGCUUGGUGUUUAGAAUGUUCAAAGUACACAAUCUUGUGUUCAUCCCUUCUCUAUUUUAGCUGAUUUUGUCGAAAUAACAGAAUUGGCACACAUGUAUUCUAAUCAGAUCUGUUGGAAUGAGAGUGAGGGUUGAUCA